GAGUUUUCCCGUGACUGACGGAAUCAAGGUGGCUACCACUGGGGAUCGGGAAACGUGAUAUGUAGCAUGCCGACCGUCUGGGCAAAGACC
Molecule: non-coding RNA, 90 nt
Filed under: Deltaproteobacteria bacterium
Lineage: Bacteria; Pseudomonadati; Myxococcota; Myxococcia
Description: ZTP sequence
Rfam family: ZMP/ZTP riboswitch aptamer (pfl RNA motif)
About the family: Previously known as pfl RNA. ZMP is also known as AICAR.
Source: RNAcentral